UUUUUUUUUUCAUUGGUUAUAAAACUGGCUAAUAUUGAAUUAAGAACCUUGAGCCUUGGGUCCUGGGGCUCGAGGUAGAACGGUGGAUGGAAAUUCUAACACCUCUAUGAGAACUCCCUUAAGUUACCCCCAAUGUCUCAAGUCCCUGAGCAGAGAUGCUGUGCGUGAACCAGAAGGGCGCAGAGCCGCUUAACACUUCAUUGGCACCGGUGCUCCAGGAAAGAAGCAUCCUCUUCAAGGAACGUAUCUAUUAAAACCACACUGCUCAGGUUGGAUUUAUUUAAUAUUCAAUACAAAAAAAUAUGCAGCCGAUUUCUGAAGUUCUACUUUAUGACGCAGAGGAUCAGCGCUGAUGUGAUUUCCAUUAACCCCCCUCUGCCACUCCCUCGGUACUCACACACGCACGCACACAAUGUUGCAGUGAAAGUAUUUGCACACGCAUCUUCCCAGAGAAUUUCUUCCACGGGGUACGGAUACCCUCAACCCUCCUUCUUCCUUUGCUUCAUCUGCUGGCAGAGUCGCUUCUUGUUCUAUCACCGAUGCUCUCAGGCUUUGAGUUAGCUAGGAAAGGAUUUGUGUUUGACUGUUGCCAUCUGAAGCCCAACUCGUGCCCUAAGGUGGUUUUUCUGGGAGGUAAGGAGUCCAGAACAGGAACUCCAUGAUUUCAAGUCUUUGUAACUGAUUACAGCGUACUGAUUGAACAAAAGAAAAGACUCGUGACUUCUACAGGGGAAGAAUGCAGACAGGAGCCAUCAUCAGGUCCAGACAGGGGGCUUCCCCCCCCCCCCCACAGUAUGAACAGGUCAAUGUCCCGAAAUAUAACCAAAAAUAAAAACAGAACCAAAAAAAAAACCCAAAAAUGCCCUGACCCAACAAAUCAACAGUUCAAUAUAUCAUAAUGUCAAGGUCUUCCCACAUGAUACAAAUCCAACGCGGCUUCAGCAAAUUAGAUUUUUCCAGAAAGCGGAGGCAGGGCUCCCGGCAUGCCCCCAGAUAGCCCUGUGUUGGGUCCUAAGAGAAUCUGUCGCUGCUGCAGCUGCUGCUGUUGCUCCAUCUGCAGCUUUUCGGUUUCAAACACGACGGGAAGAACUAAAAUCAUGAAAGAGGUGGUCCCAAUCCACAGUGCUGCCCUGGAGAAUCUGUACAUCUUCUGCGCUAUCGCCAGCGACAGGUCGAAGGUGGCUCCGGCCGCCGAGCGCACGCUCUCGGGGAACAUCUCGGUCAGCCCCCACAGCCGCUCCGCCAGCGUCUCGUCCAGCUCGUCGUCGUCGUCGUCCUCCAGCUCGUCCUCCAGAUCCUCGGCCUUGCCCGCGCCGCCCUUGGGCAGCAGCUCCUCCGGGGACAGGGACGCAGGGGCAGCCAUCACCACCACCGCCACCACCACCAGGGACGGAGCGGGCAGCG
This 1404-nucleotide long non-coding RNA is filed under the name Gallus gallus (chicken). The record is from RNAcentral. Lineage: Eukaryota; Metazoa; Chordata; Aves; Galliformes; Phasianidae.